This 301-nucleotide ribosomal RNA is filed under the name uncultured bacterium. Its description in RNAcentral is "partial 16S ribosomal RNA". It matches the Rfam family "Bacterial small subunit ribosomal RNA", at positions 509 to 807 of the family's 1533-position model. The record is from RNAcentral.
CAGUAGCCGCGGUAAUACAGAGGGUGCGAGCGUUAAUCGGAUUUACUGGGCGUAAAGCGUGCGUAGGCGGCUAAUUGAGUCGGAUGUGAAAUCCCCGAGCUUAACUUGGGAAUUGCAUUCGAUACUGGUUAGCUAGAGUGUGGGAGAGGAUGGUAGAAUUCCAGGUGUAGCGGUGAAAUGCGUAGAGAUCUGAAGGAAUACCGAUGGCGAAGGCAGCCAUCUGGCCUAACACUGACGCUGAGGAGCGAAAGCAUGGGGAGCGAACAGGAUUAGAUACCCCUGUAGUCCCUGUCUCUUAUAC